CUUGGUCAUUUAGAGGAAGUAAAAGUCGUAACAAGGUUUCCGUAGGUGAACCUGCGGAAGGAUCAUUACAGAGAACGUCGCCCUCACGGGUGACUCUCCAACCCUAUGUUAUUGUACCUUUGUUGCUUUGGCGAGCCGCUUCGGCCACCGGCUUGUGCUGGUGUGUGCUCGCCAGAGGACCCCAAACUCUGAAUAUUAAUGUCGUCUGAGUACUAUAUAAUAGUUAAAACUUUCAACAACGGAUCUCUUGGUUCUGGCAUCGAUGAAGAACGCAGCGAAAUGCGAUAAGUAAUGCGAAUUGCAGAAUUCAGUGAGUCAUCGAAUCUUUGAACGCACAUUGCGCCCUGUGGUAUUCCGCAGGGCAUGCCUGUUCGAGCGUCAUUUCAACCCUCAAGCACUGCUUGGUGUUGGGCCCUGCCCGUCGCGGCCGGCCCUAAAGACAGUGGCGGCGCCGUCUGGCUCUAAGCGUAGUACAACUCUCGCUCUGGAGCCCUGCGGUAGCUUGCCAGAACCCCUAAUCUUAUGGUUGACCUCGGAUCAGGUAGGGAUACCCGCUGAACUUAAGCAUAUCAAUAAGCGGAGGA
Molecule: ribosomal RNA, 584 nt
Filed under: uncultured Myxotrichaceae
Lineage: Eukaryota; Fungi; Ascomycota; Leotiomycetes; Myxotrichaceae
Description: eukaryotic LSU rRNA
Rfam family: 5.8S ribosomal RNA (bases 228-381)
Source: RNAcentral